GUGCUUGUUUUGGCAGCACACAUACUAAAGCUGGAAUGAUAAAGAGAAUAUUAGCAUGGCCCUUGUGCAAGAAUGACACUCAAACUUGUGAAACAUUCUAUAUUUUU
Small nuclear RNA from Gracilinanus agilis (Agile Gracile Mouse Opossum), 107 nucleotides. Lineage: Eukaryota; Metazoa; Chordata; Mammalia; Didelphimorphia; Didelphidae. The record is from RefSeq and is a predicted model, not a curated record.